CCUCGUACAUUGUUCCAUUUGACCAAUUCAUAAUCCCUCUUCCAUCCAUUUUAUUAUUUUUCCAAUUUCCAGUGUAGACAUCUCCAUUUGCAAAUCUAUAAACUCCAUAGCCAUGUUUCUGUCCAUUUGACCAAUAACCAUCGAAAACAUCACCGUUAGCCCAUUUCAUAAUCCCUUUUCCAUCCCUUUCCCCUUUUUCCCAAUUUCCAGUGUAGACGUUUCCAUUAGCAGAUCUAUAAACUCCAUAUCCAUGUGAAAGUCCAUUUGACCAAUAACCAUCGAAAAUAGCACCAUUACCCCAAUUCAUAAUCCCUUUUCCAUCCUUUUCUCCUUUUUCCCAAUUUCCAGCAUAGACAUCCCCAUUUGCAAAUCUAUAAACUCCAUAUCCAUGUUUAUGUCCAUUUGACCAAUAACCAUCGAAAACAUCAUCGUUAGCCCAUUUCAUAAUCCCUUUUCCAUGCCUUUCCCCUUUUUCCCAAUUUCCAGUGUAGACGUUUCCAUUUGCAGAUCUAUAAACUCCAUAUCCAUGUGAAAGUCCAUUUGACCAACAACCAUCGAAAAUAGCACC
RNAcentral lists this long non-coding RNA (568 nucleotides) under Medicago truncatula (barrel medic). RNAcentral describes it as "long non-coding RNA (MTRU_LNC006517)". Lineage: Eukaryota; Viridiplantae; Streptophyta; Magnoliopsida; Fabales; Fabaceae. The record is from RNAcentral.